This 284-nucleotide ribosomal RNA is filed under the name uncultured bacterium. RNAcentral's name for it is "partial 16S ribosomal RNA". It matches the Rfam family "Bacterial small subunit ribosomal RNA", at positions 137 to 418 of the family's 1533-position model. The record is from RNAcentral.
AGACGGGAUAGCCCAGAGAAAUUUGGAUUAAUACCUCAUAGUAUAGUACCUCCGCAUGGAGGGAACUAUUAAAGUCACAACGGUAAAAGAUGAGCAUGCGUCCCAUUAGCUAGUUGGUAAGGUACCGGCUUACCAAGGCGACGAUGGGUAGGGGUCCUGAGAGGGAGAUCCCCCAAACUGGUACUGAGACACGGACCAGACUCCUACGGGAGGCAGCAGUGAGGAAUAUUAGGUCAAUGGAUGCAAGUCUGAACCAGCCAUGCCGCGUGCAGGAAGAAGGCUUC